RNAcentral lists this ribosomal RNA (253 nucleotides) under uncultured bacterium. Its description in RNAcentral is "partial 16S ribosomal RNA". It matches the Rfam family "Bacterial small subunit ribosomal RNA", at positions 524 to 776 of the family's 1533-position model. The record is from RNAcentral.
GACGGAGGGGGCUAGCGUUGUUCGGAAUUACUGGGCUUAAAGCGCAUGUAGGCGGCUUUGUAAGUUAGAGGUGAAAGCCCGGGGCUCAACUCCGGAAUUGCCUUUAAGACUGCAUCGCUAGAAUUGUGGAGAGGUAAGUGGAAUUCCGAGUGUAGAGGUGAAAUUCGUAGAUAUUCGGAAGAACACCAGUGGCGAAGGCGACUUACUGGACACAUAUUGACGCUGAGGUGCGAAAGCGUGGGGAGCAAACAGG